This 457-nucleotide ribosomal RNA is filed under the name Enterococcus faecalis. RNAcentral's name for it is "bacterial SSU rRNA". It matches the Rfam family "Bacterial small subunit ribosomal RNA", at positions 28 to 463 of the family's 1533-position model. The record is from RNAcentral. Lineage: Bacteria; Bacillati; Bacillota; Bacilli; Lactobacillales; Enterococcaceae.
GACGAACGCUGGCGGCGUGCCUAAUACAUGCAAGUCGAACGCUUCUUUCCUCCCGAGUGCUUGCACUCAAUUGGAAAGAGGAGUGGCGGACGGGUGAGUAACACGUGGGUAACCUACCCAUCAGAGGGGGAUAACACUUGGAAACAGGUGCUAAUACCGCAUAACAGUUUAUGCCGCAUGGCAUAAGAGUGAAAGGCGCUUUCGGGUGUCGCUGAUGGAUGGACCCGCGGUGCAUUAGCUAGUUGGUGAGGUAACGGCUCACCAAGGCCACGAUGCAUAGCCGACCUGAGAGGGUGAUCGGCCACACUGGGACUGAGACACGGCCCAGACUCCUACGGGAGGCAGCAGUAGGGAAUCUUCGGCAAUGGACGAAAGUCUGACCGAGCAACGCCGCGUGAGUGAAGAAGGUUUUCGGAUCGUAAAACUCUGUUGUUAGAGAAGAACAAGGACGUUAGUA